Long non-coding RNA from Thalassophryne amazonica, 227 nucleotides. RefSeq lists it as uncharacterized. The transcript has 3 exons. The record is from RefSeq and is a predicted model, not a curated record. NCBI's taxonomy places the organism in Eukaryota, Metazoa, Chordata, Actinopteri, Batrachoidiformes, Batrachoididae.
UCAAAAUUGUCUGCACACGGUUGACGUUUGUCACUUGAUGGGCAUUCCUGGACUGUGGCCAGCUCACGGUGACUUGGUGUUACUGUGCACAGUGUUGAAAGAGAUUAUAGAAGAGGGGGAAACUUGAGACGGUCACUAUGAGCUUUUACUCCAUACUUAACUGCUUAAUGGAACUAAAGUUCAACUGAUUUGUUUCAGUCCACCGUCUUUCACAGUGAUAUUCCUGU